Molecule: ribosomal RNA, 562 nt
Filed under: Filobasidium uniguttulatum
Lineage: Eukaryota; Fungi; Basidiomycota; Tremellomycetes; Filobasidiales; Filobasidiaceae
Description: eukaryotic LSU rRNA
Rfam family: Eukaryotic large subunit ribosomal RNA
Source: RNAcentral
GAAACUAACAAGGAUUCCCCUAGUAACGGCGAGCGAAGCGGGAAGAGCUCAAAUUUGAAAUCUGGUGGCCUCAGGUCAUCCGAGUUGUAAUCUAUAGAAGUGUUUUCCGUGCUGGCCCAUGUACAAGUCCCUUGGAACAGGGCGUCAUAGAGGGUGAGAAUCCCGUCCUUGACAUGGACUACCAGUGCUCUGUGAUACACUUUCAACGAGUCGAGUUGUUUGGGAAUGCAGCUCAAAAUGGGUGGUAAAUUCCAUCUAAAGCUAAAUAUUGGCGAGAGACCGAUAGCGAACAAGUACCGUGAGGGAAAGAUGAAAAGCACUUUGGAAAGAGAGUUAAACAGUAUGUGAAAUUGUUGAAAGGGAAACGAUUGAAGUCAGUCGUGCUCAAUGGACUCAGCCGUUCUGCGGUGUAUUUCCAUUGGGUGGGGUCAACAUCAGUUUUGAUCGCUGGAUAAAGGCAGGAGGAAUGUAGCACCCCCGGGUGAACUUAUAGCCUCUUGUCACAUACAGUGGUUGGGACUGAGGAACGCAGCAUGCCUUUAUGGCCGGGAUUCGUCCACGU